GUGGGGAAUAUUGGACAAUGGGCGCAAGCCUGAUCCAGCCAUACCGCGUGGGUGAAGAAGGCCUUCGGGUUGUAAAGCCCUUUUGUUGGGAAAGAAAUCCUGUCGAUUAAUACUCGGUGGGGAUGACGGUACCCAAAGAAUAAGCACCGGCUAACUUCGUGCCAGCAGCCGCGGUAAUACGAAGGGUGCAAGCGUUACUCGGAAUUACUGGGCGUAAAGCGUGCGUAGGUGGUGGUUUAAGUCUGCUGUGAAAGCCCUGGGAUCAACCUGGGAAUUGCAGUGGAUACUGGAUCACUAGAGUGUGGUAGAGGGAUGCGGAAUUUCUGGUGUAGCAGUGAAAUGCGUAGAGAUCAGAAGGAACAUCCGUGGCGAAGGCGGCAUCCUGGGCCAACACUGACACUGAGGCACGAAAGCGUGGGGAGCAAACAGGAUUAGAAACCCGGGUAGUCC
Molecule: ribosomal RNA, 450 nt
Filed under: uncultured bacterium
Lineage: Bacteria
Description: bacterial SSU rRNA
Rfam family: Bacterial small subunit ribosomal RNA
Source: RNAcentral